This 492-nucleotide ribosomal RNA is filed under the name uncultured bacterium. RNAcentral describes it as "partial 16S ribosomal RNA". It matches the Rfam family "Bacterial small subunit ribosomal RNA", at positions 28 to 507 of the family's 1533-position model. The record is from RNAcentral.
GAUGUACGCUGGCUACAGGCUUAACACAUGCAAGUCGAGGGGAAACGGCAUUGAGUGCUUGCACUGAAUGGACGUCGACCGGCGCACGGGUGAGUAACGCGUAUCCAACCUUCCCGUUACUGCGGGGUAACCUGCCGAAAGGCAGACUAAUACCGCAUGUUCUUCGAUGACGGCAUCAGAUUCGAAGCAAAGAUCCGUCGGUAACGGAGGGGGAUGCGUCUGAUUAGCUAGUUGGCGGGGCGACGGCCCACCAAGGCGACGAUCAGUAGGGGUUCUGAGAGGAAGGUCCCCCACAUUGGAACUGAGACACGGUCCAAACUCCUACGGGAGGCAGCAGUGAGGAAUAUUGGUCAAUGGGCGGAAGCCUGAACCAGCCAAGUAGCGUGCAGGAUGACGGCCCUACGGGUUGUAAACUGCUUUUAUGCGGGGAUAAAGUGAGGGACGCGUCCCUUUUUGCAGGUACCGCAUGAAUAAGGACCGGCUAAUUCCGUG